GGUCCCCUAGUUCAAUGGAUAGAAUAGGCCCGUCCUAAGGGUUAGAUACUGGUUCGAUUCCGGUGGGGACUA
RNAcentral lists this transfer RNA (72 nucleotides) under Candidatus Peribacteria bacterium. RNAcentral describes it as "tRNA-Arg". It matches the Rfam family "tRNA". From Rfam's summary of the family: Transfer RNA (tRNA) molecules are approximately 80 nucleotides in length. Their secondary structure includes four short double-helical elements and three loops (D, anti-codon, and T loops). Lineage: Bacteria; Candidatus Peregrinibacteriota; Candidatus Peribacteria. The record is from RNAcentral.